CUCUCGGGUGACGAGCGGCGGACGGGUGAGUAAUGUCUGGGAAACUGCCUGAUGGAGGGGGAUAACUACUGGAAACGGUAGCUAAUACCGCAUAACGUCGCAAGACCAAAGUGGGGGACCUUCGGGCCUCAUGCCAUCAGAUGUGCCCAGAUGGGAUUAGCUAGUAGGUGGGGUAACGGCUCACCUAGGCGACGAUCCCUAGCUGGUCUGAGAGGAUGACCAGCCACACUGGAACUGAGACACGGUCCAGACUCCUACGGGAGGCAGCAGUGGGGAAUAUUGCACAAUGGGCGCAAGCCUGAUGCAGCCAUGCCGCGUGUGUGAAGAAGGCCUUCGGGUUGUAAAGCACUUUCAGCGGGGAGGAAGGCG
Molecule: ribosomal RNA, 369 nt
Filed under: Klebsiella pneumoniae
Lineage: Bacteria; Pseudomonadati; Pseudomonadota; Gammaproteobacteria; Enterobacterales; Enterobacteriaceae
Description: bacterial SSU rRNA
Rfam family: Bacterial small subunit ribosomal RNA
Source: RNAcentral